ACACCAUGGGAGUGGGGUGCACCAGAAGUAGGUAGGCUAACCGNAAGGGGGCCNCCUACCACGGUGCNCUUCAUGACUGGGGUG
RNAcentral lists this ribosomal RNA (84 nucleotides) under uncultured bacterium. RNAcentral describes it as "partial 16S ribosomal RNA". It matches the Rfam family "Bacterial small subunit ribosomal RNA", at positions 1399 to 1482 of the family's 1533-position model. The record is from RNAcentral.